GACGAACGCUGGCGGCGUGCCUAAUACAUGCAAGUAGAACGCUGAAGAGAGGAGCUUGCUCUUCUUGGAUGAGUUGCGAACGGGUGAGUAACGCGUAGGUAACCUGCCUGGUAGCGGGGGAUAACUAUUGGAAACGAUAGCUAAUACCGCAUAAAAUUGAUUAUUGCAUGAUACUUAAUUGAAAGAUGCAACUGCAUCACUACCAGAUGGACCUGCGUUGUAUUAGCUAGUUGGUGAGGUAACGGCUCACCAAGGCGACGAUACAUAGCCGACCUGAGAGGGUGAUCGGCCACACUGGGACUGAGACACGGCCCAGACUCCUACGGGAGGCAGCAGUAGGGAAUCUUCGGCAAUGGGGGGAACCCUGACCGAGCAACGCCGCGUGAGGGAAGAAGGUUUUCGGAUCGUAAAGCUCUGUUGUAAGAGAAGAACGGGUGUGAGAGUGGAAAGUUCACACUGUGACGGUAUCUUACCAGAAAGGGACGGCUAACUACGUG
This 497-nucleotide ribosomal RNA is filed under the name uncultured bacterium. Its description in RNAcentral is "partial 16S ribosomal RNA". It matches the Rfam family "Bacterial small subunit ribosomal RNA", at positions 28 to 507 of the family's 1533-position model. The record is from RNAcentral.